GACGAACGCUGGCGGCGUGCUUAACACAUGCAAGUCGAACGGAAAGGCCCUGCUUUUGUGGGGUGCUCGAGUGGCGAACGGGUGAGUAACACGUGAGUAACCUGCCCUUGACUUUGGGAUAACUUCAGGAAACUGGGGCUAAUACCGGAUAGGAGCUCCUGCUGCAUGGUGGGGGUUGGACAGUUUCGGCGGUUGGGGAUGGACUCGCGGCUUAUCAGCUUGUUGGUGGGGUAGUGGCUUACCAAGGCUUUGACGGGUAGCCGGCCUGAGAGGGUGACCGGCCACAUUGGGACUGAGAUACGGCCCAGACUGCUACGGGAGGCAGCAGUGGGGAAUAUUGCACAAUGGGCGGAAGCGUGAUGCAGCAACGCCGCGUGCGGGAUGACGGCCUUCGGGUUGUAAACCGCUUUCGCAUGUGACGAAGCGUGAGUGACGGUAAUGGGUAAAGAAGCACCGGCUAACUACGUG
RNAcentral lists this ribosomal RNA (468 nucleotides) under uncultured bacterium. RNAcentral describes it as "partial 16S ribosomal RNA". It matches the Rfam family "Bacterial small subunit ribosomal RNA", at positions 28 to 507 of the family's 1533-position model. The record is from RNAcentral.